CUACUGCUUGAAGAAUUUGCUUUAGAUAACAACAUUUGUCUUCUAAGGUCAAAACUUUUUCUUCAAUUUGCUUAAAUAAAUCGCCUUGAGGACAGUACUCUUGAACCAAACAAAACCCAGCGGAUUUAUUAAAUACGCUUGUCAAAGUCACACAAGGGCAGAUAACUUUCAGAAUAUUAGGAUGGUCCAAUUUUGGUUGGAUUGACCAUUCCCUUAAAAAAUAAACCAUUGUAUUCAAUCUUUUUUUAUGCGAUGUUUUCGUUUUCCGAUAUACUUUGGCAGCAUAGUAUAUCUUUGCGUCGGUGAUUUUAUCUCUGUGAGUUACAACCUUGAUUGUAGAGGUGGCCCCUUUAGCUAUUGAUUUUAGAUGCUGAAAGUCUAAGCGAAAUCUUAUUUCGGGUAAUAUACGCUUCAGUGAAGGAUCUAAUCCAAUUGCGAAGUCAGACAUUCCAAUAAACGAAGGUUGAAUUGAAUGAACGGAAAGUAAGCUAGUAUUACUGUCUAAGUAUUCAUUUUCUAACCAUGGUGCAGUAAUUGUACUUGGCUUUAUAACGACGGAAGACUUCUUGGUUGUUGAUUUAGAAACAUUUAUUGAAAAAAAUUGGAAGAACUCUUUAGGAAAUCUCCCAAAAAUAUUUUCAAUCGAAAGACUAUUCUUAUUCUCUGAAUUCCUUUGAAUUGCUGAAUUGUCCACGAAAAUUGUCCCCUGGCGAAAAAAAGGAUAAUUAGUCAUUAGUGACAAGCCGCUGAAGCUAAGAAG
Molecule: non-coding RNA, 760 nt
Organism: Schizosaccharomyces pombe (fission yeast)
Lineage: Eukaryota; Fungi; Ascomycota; Schizosaccharomycetes; Schizosaccharomycetales; Schizosaccharomycetaceae
Source: the annotation of a GenBank genome assembly